This 952-nucleotide ribosomal RNA is filed under the name uncultured Halobacterium sp. Its description in RNAcentral is "bacterial SSU rRNA". It matches the Rfam family "Archaeal small subunit ribosomal RNA", at positions 6 to 957 of the family's 1478-position model. Lineage: Archaea; Methanobacteriati; Methanobacteriota; Halobacteria; Halobacteriales; Halobacteriaceae. The record is from RNAcentral.
GGUUGAUCCCGCCGGAGGUCAUUGCUAUCGGGAUUCGAUUUAGCCAUGCUAGUCGCACGGGUUCAGACCCGUGGCAGAUAGCUCAGUAACACGUGGCCAAACUACCCUAUGGAGGACCAUAACCUCGGGAAACUGAGGCUAAUAGUCCGUACGACUCUCUCCCUGGAACUGGGUUGAGUCAGAAACGCUACGGCGCCAUAGGAUGUGGCUGCGGCCGAUUAGGUAGACGGUGGGGUAACGGCCCACCGUGCCAAUAAUCGGUAUAGGUUGUGAGAGCAAGAGCCUAGAGACGGAAUCUGAGACAAGAUUCCGGGCCCUACGGGGCGCAGCAGGCGCGAAAACUUUACACUGCACGACAGUGCGAUAAGGGAAUCCCGAGUGCGAGGGCAUAGAGCCCUCGCUUUUCUGAACCGUAGGGUGGUUCAGGAACAAGAACUGGGCAAGACCGGUGCCAGCCGCCGCGGUAACACCGGCAGUUCGAGUGAUGACCGAUAUUAUUGGGCCUAAAGCGUCCGUAGCUGGCUGUGCAAGUCUGUUGGGAAAUCUGCUCGCUCAACGAGCAGGCGUCCGGCAGAAACUGUGCAGCUUGGGACCGAGCGAUCCGAGGGGUACGUCCGGGGUAGGAGUGAAAUCCCGUAAUCCUGGACGGACCACCGAUGGCGAAAGCACCUCGGAAGAUCGGAUCCGACAGUGAGGGACGAAAGCUGGGGUCACGAACCGGAUUAGAUACCCGGGUAGUCCCAGCUGUAAACGAUGCCAGUUAGGUUUGGCGCGGGCUACGAGCUCGUGCUGUGCCGCAGUGAAGACGAUAAACUGGCCGCCUGGGAAGUACGUCCGCAAGGAUGAAACUUAAAGGAAUUGGCGGGGGAGCACUACAACCGGAGGAGCCUGCGGUUUAAUUGGACUCACGCCCGGACAUCUCACCAGCAUCGACAGUGAUCGUGACGGUCAG